UCGCUGUAGCAAUACGAUAGAAAAUUUAGUGGCGAACGGGUGCUUAACACGUGGGCAACCUGCCUGGAAGUGGGGGAUAGCUCGCCGAAAGGCGAAUUAAUACCGCAUGUGAUUAGAGGGGACAUCCUUUCGAAAUUAAAGGCGGGGCAACCUGACGCUUCUUGUGGGGCCCGCGGCCUAUCAGCUAGUUGGUGAGGUAACGGCUCACCAAGGCGUUGACGGGUAGCUGGUCUGAGAGGACGACCAGCCACACUGGGACUGAGACACGGCCCAGACACCUACGGGUGGCAGCAGUCGAGAAUUUUUGACAAUGGGGGAAACCCUGAAGGAGCGACGCCGCGUGGAGGAUGAAGGUCUUCGGAUUGUAAACUCCUGUCAUUGGGGAACAAUGCUCAAAUAUUAACUGUAUUUGUGUUGAUAGUACCCGAAGAGGAAGAGACGGCUAACUCUGUGCCAGCAGCCGCGGUAAUACAGAGGUCUCAAGCGUUGUUCGGAUUCAUUGGGCGUAAAGGGUGCGUAGGCGGCGCGGUAAGUCGGGUGUGAAAUCUCGGAGCUUAACUUCGAAACUGCAUUCGAUACUGCCGUGCUUGAGGACUGGAGAGGAGACUGGAAUUCUCGGUGUAGCA
Molecule: ribosomal RNA, 626 nt
Filed under: uncultured Verrucomicrobiota bacterium
Lineage: Bacteria; Pseudomonadati; Verrucomicrobiota
Description: bacterial SSU rRNA
Rfam family: Bacterial small subunit ribosomal RNA
Source: RNAcentral